This is a non-coding RNA of Klebsiella pneumoniae IS39, 99 nucleotides long. NCBI's taxonomy places the organism in Bacteria, Pseudomonadati, Pseudomonadota, Gammaproteobacteria, Enterobacterales, Enterobacteriaceae. The record is from Rfam.
CUUUAAAAAUCUGGAUCAAGCUGAAAAUUGAAACGACACACAGUUAAUGUGUGUUCGAGUCUCUCAAAUUUUUCGCAAUCAGAAGUGAAACAUCUUCGG